Long non-coding RNA from Homo sapiens (human), 559 nucleotides. The record is from Ensembl. NCBI's taxonomy places the organism in Eukaryota, Metazoa, Chordata, Mammalia, Primates, Hominidae.
AUCCAAGUCGGCUGAAUUUCUGAUGGUUAAAGAAGAUAGAGAAGCUACAGAAGGCACUGGAAAUCCAGCUUUUAACAUGAGCAGUCCAGAUCUCUCAGCAUGUCAGACUGCAGAAAAGAAAGUUAUUAGACACGACAUGCCGGAUCGCACCCUUGCAGCUCACCAACAAAAAUUCAGGCUGCCAGCCUCUGCAGAACCAAAAGGAAAUGAAUACGGCAGAAAUUACUUUGACCCACUGAUGGAUGAGGAAAUAAACCCAAGGCAGUGUGCGACGGAGGUCAGCAGAGAAGGUGCUCCCUCAAAGGAAAAAUGGAGCAUUCCUAAAAAAAUCGGUCCCUGUUCUAUGGACUAUGAUCCCAAUCUCUUAGAAGAAGACGAUGAACUACACUCUCAGGGAGAUAGCCUGACGGAUCAUUCUGUGAAAGGAAAAUCAACUGUUUGGAGAAUUGGAGAAGCUGAAGAUUAUUCACAGGACAUAUCUUACUUGGAGGAACUGGAGGAACACCGAUUUUCUGUUUGCUGUUCUUCAGUUGCUGAUAGUAGAUAUGGAGACUUCUUC